RNAcentral lists this ribosomal RNA (275 nucleotides) under uncultured bacterium. RNAcentral describes it as "partial 16S ribosomal RNA". It matches the Rfam family "Bacterial small subunit ribosomal RNA", at positions 338 to 628 of the family's 1533-position model. The record is from RNAcentral.
CCUACGGGGGGCUGCAGUGGGGAAUUUUCCGCAAUGGGCGAAAGCCUGACGGAGCAACGCCGCGUGGGGGAAGAAGGUCUUUGGAUUGUAAACCCCUUUUCUCAGGGAAGAAUUCCUGACGGUACCUGAGGAAUCAGCCUCGGCUAACUCCGUGCCAGCAGCCGCGGUAAUACGGAGGAGGCAAGCGUUAUCCGGAAUUAUUGGGCGUAAAGCGUUCGUAGGUGGCUUUUCAAGUCGGCGGUUAAAGACCCGGGCUUAACUCGGGAGCAGCCGUG